Molecule: non-coding RNA, 82 nt
Organism: Ixodes scapularis (black-legged tick)
Lineage: Eukaryota; Metazoa; Arthropoda; Arachnida; Ixodida; Ixodidae
Source: Rfam
GCAGUCGUGGCCGAGUGGUUAAGGCGAUGGACUAGGAAUCCAUUGGGGUUUCCCGGCACAGGUUCGAAUUCUGUCGACUGCG